Non-coding RNA from Parelaphostrongylus tenuis, 72 nucleotides. Lineage: Eukaryota; Metazoa; Nematoda; Chromadorea; Rhabditida; Metastrongylidae. The record is from the annotation of a GenBank genome assembly.
GGCCCGGCCUGGCGCAGUGGUAACUGCGCUCUGUUGAAGGUUAAACGCGGGUUCAGCUCCCGCCUAGGGUCG